This 253-nucleotide ribosomal RNA is filed under the name uncultured bacterium. Its description in RNAcentral is "partial 16S ribosomal RNA". It matches the Rfam family "Bacterial small subunit ribosomal RNA", at positions 524 to 776 of the family's 1533-position model. The record is from RNAcentral.
UACAGGGGGGGCAAGCGUUGUUCGGAAUUACUGGGCGUAAAGGGCUCGUAGGUGGCCAACUUAGUCAGACGUGAAAUCCCUCAGCUUAACUGGGGAACUGCGUCUGAUACUGGAUGGCUUGAGUGCAGGAGAGGAACGCGGAAUUCCAGGUGUAGCGGUGAAAUGCGUAGAUAUCUGGAGGAACACCGGUGGCGAAGGCGGGUCUCUGGGCCGAAAUUGACGCUGAGGAGCGAAAGCGUGGGGAGCAAACAGG